AAAAGUAUUGACUCCCCAAAUUUUGCCCUUCCCGCCGAUUGCUUCUCCGGCGGUGGUUAUUCGCCGGUUUUCUCUGUAGCUUGUAAUUCACAAGUUUUGGCUCCCAAAUAUGUGGGAUUUGACGCUAGAGAGCUUCCUGAAGAAUGCACUUUUGAAACAGCUUUUGCAGACUUGGACAAUUCCUUGCAAUAAGCUGUGUGGUCUAAUGAGGAAAAUAAUAGGAAGCUAACUAGUUGGAUUCAUGCACAGAUUGUCCUGGAACUUGUCAAUUAGGUUCAAAUAUUGAAAAAGAAAGGUUCCACAUUUGCCACACUGCACGACAUAGGGAGGAAGAUAGAGAGAGGGCAGAUAGAUUACAACCUAUAUCAUCUGGGUGAGAGAAGUUGCGGCGACCAGUAGGCUUGCCCUUGAACUUUCCUCUUCCCAUGU
Molecule: long non-coding RNA, 429 nt
Organism: Gastrolobium bilobum
Lineage: Eukaryota; Viridiplantae; Streptophyta; Magnoliopsida; Fabales; Fabaceae
Exons: 5
Source: RefSeq, a predicted model, not a curated record